GAUGAAGAACGCAGCGAAAUGCGAUACGUAGUGUGAAUUGCAGAAUUCAGUGAAUCAUCGAGUCUUUGAACGCACAUUGCGCCCCCUGGUAUUCCGGGGGGCAUGCCUGUCCGAGCGUCAUUGCUGCCCUCAAGCACGGCUUGUGUGUUGGGCCUCCGUCCUCCUCCCGGGGGACGGGCCCGAAAGGCAGCGGCGGCACCGCGUCCGGUCCUCGAGCGUAUGGGGCUUCGUCACCCGCUCUUGUAGGCCCGGCCGGCGCUUGCCGACACAUCAAUCUUUUUUCCAGGUUGACCUCGGAUCAGGUAGGGAUACCCGCUGAACUUAAGCAUAUCAAUAAGCGGAGGA
RNAcentral lists this unclassified non-coding RNA (345 nucleotides) under soil metagenome. Its description in RNAcentral is "partial contains 5.8S ribosomal RNA, internal transcribed spacer 2, and large subunit ribosomal RNA". The stretch from base 1 to 120 matches the Rfam family "5.8S ribosomal RNA", at positions 35 to 154 of the family's 154-position model. The record is from RNAcentral.